This 473-nucleotide ribosomal RNA is filed under the name uncultured bacterium. RNAcentral describes it as "bacterial SSU rRNA". It matches the Rfam family "Bacterial small subunit ribosomal RNA", at positions 355 to 825 of the family's 1533-position model. The record is from RNAcentral.
UGGGGAAUUGUUCACAAUGGGCGCAAGCCUGAUGACGCAACGCCGCGUGGGGGAUGAAGGUCUUCGGAUUGUAAACCCCUGUCGAAUGGGACGAAAGACUCGCGAGUUAAUACUUCGCGGGAGUGACGGUACCGUUAAAGGAAGCCACGGCUAACUCUGUGCCAGCAGCCGCGGUAAUACAGAGGUGGCAAGCGUUGUUCGGAAUUACUGGGCGUAAAGGGCGCGUAGGCGGCCUACUAAGUCAGACGUGAAAUCCCCCGGCUUAACCUGGGAACUGCGUCUGAUACUGGAAGGCUUGAGUAUGGGAGAGGGAUGUAGAAUUCCAGGUGUAGCGGUGAAAUGCGUAGAUAUCUGGAGGAAUACCGGUGGCGAAGGCGGCAUCCUGGACCAUUACUGACGCUGAGGCGCGAAAGCUAGGGGAGCAAACGGGAUUAGAUACCCAGGUAGUCCCUGAGCGGGCUGGCAAGGCGCAU